AUGUACCUUCCUCAGGUGUCAAAUGUGAUGAUGUACCUGGUCGUUCAAAUCUUACCUCCAUCUUGGUACAACGAGAAGGAGUUACGAAACGUGUGCUGGGUUCAUGGUUGA
Molecule: ribosomal RNA, 111 nt
Filed under: Triticum aestivum (bread wheat)
Lineage: Eukaryota; Viridiplantae; Streptophyta; Magnoliopsida; Poales; Poaceae
Description: partial small subunit ribosomal RNA
Source: RNAcentral